This 774-nucleotide ribosomal RNA is filed under the name uncultured Neocallimastigales. RNAcentral's name for it is "partial large subunit ribosomal RNA". It matches the Rfam family "Eukaryotic large subunit ribosomal RNA", at positions 24 to 635 of the family's 3401-position model. Lineage: Eukaryota; Fungi; Neocallimastigomycota; Neocallimastigomycetes; Neocallimastigales. The record is from RNAcentral.
UAUGUGAUCGUCUCUCGCAUAUCAAUAAGCGGAGGAAAAGAAACUAACAAGGAUUCCCCUAGUAACGGCGAGUGAAGCGGGAAGAGCUCAAAUUUGAAAUCUUAAAGGGUUUCCCUUUACGAAUUGUAGUUCAAAGAAGUGUUUUCUGUUGAGGUUUUGGUAAAAGUUCUUUGGAAUAGGACAUCAUAGAGGGUGAGAAUCCCGUAUUUGACCUUUACUUUCAACUUUGUGAUACACUUUCAAAGAGUCGGAUUGUUUGGGAAUGCAGUCCAAAAUGGGUGGUAAAUUUCAUCUAAAGCUAAAUAUUGGCGAGAGACCGAUAGCGAACAAGUACCGUGAGGGAAAGAUGAAAAGAACUUUGAAAAGAGAGUUAAACAGUACGUGAAAUUGUCAAAAGGGAAGCGUUUGACACCAGUGUUGUUUUUCUGAAAAUCAAUUAAAGAACUGUUUAUGCUAAGCUGUUUAGACUUUAUCAGCUAUCUGUUUAGUUUUGAGCUUUUCUUUAAUGCACUUUUCAGUUAACAAGUCAACAUCAAUUUCUUUUGCUGUAAAAAAGCUUGAGGAAGGUGGCUUGAGAUUCGUCUUAAGUGUUUAUAGCCUCUUGCCUAUGCAGUCGGAGAGAUUGAGGUCUGCAGCGUAGAUCCUUCGGGGCUAAAUGCAUUUGUGCUAAGUUAUAGCAUUUUAUAGACAACUUGUUGACUAUGAUUUGUCUUGUAGCUUACUCGCUUAUGUUAUUUUACCUACGCUUAGGAUGUUGAUCUACAGAGCGAGAGU